RNAcentral lists this ribosomal RNA (441 nucleotides) under uncultured bacterium. RNAcentral describes it as "bacterial SSU rRNA". It matches the Rfam family "Bacterial small subunit ribosomal RNA", at positions 952 to 1392 of the family's 1533-position model. The record is from RNAcentral.
CGCAUAACGCGAAGAACCUUACCAAGGCUUGACAUCCCCUUGACCGGCACAGAGAUGUGCCCUCUCCUUCGGGAGCAAGGGUGACAGGUGGUGCAUGGUUGUCGUCAGCUCGUGUCGUGAGAUGUUGGGUUAAGUCCCGCAACGAGCGCAACCCUUAUCCUUAGUUGCCAGCAUUAACGGUGGGCACUCUAAGGAGACUGCCGAUGAUAAAUCGGAGGAAGGUGGGGAUGACGUCAAAUCAUCAUGCCCCUUAUGUCUUGGGCUACACACGUGCUACAAUGGUCGGUACAACGGGCAGCGAAGGAGCGAUCCGGAGCGAAUCCCAAUAAACCGAUCCCAGUUCGGAUUGUAGGCUGCAACUCGCCUACAUGAAGUCGGAGUUGCUAGUAAUCGCGAAUCAGAACGUCGCGGUGAAUGCGUUCCCGGGUCUUGUACACACCG